RNAcentral lists this ribosomal RNA (375 nucleotides) under uncultured organism. RNAcentral describes it as "partial 16S ribosomal RNA". It matches the Rfam family "Bacterial small subunit ribosomal RNA", at positions 527 to 896 of the family's 1533-position model. The record is from RNAcentral.
GUAGGUGGCAAGCGUUGUCCGGAAUUAUUGGGCGUAAAGCGCGCGCAGGCGGUCCUUUAAGUCUGAUGUGAAAGCCCACGGCUCAACCGUGGAGGGUCAUUGGAAACUGGGGGACUUGAGUACAGAAGAGGAAAGCGGAAUUCCAAGUGUAGCGGUGAAAUGCGUAGAGAUUUGGAGGAACACCAGUGGCGAAGGCGGCUUUCUGGUCUGUAACUGACGCUGAGGCGCGAAAGCGUGGGGAGCAAACAGGGAUUAGAUACCCUGGUAGUCCACGCCGUAAACGAUGAGUGCUAAGUGUCAGGGGGGGUUUCCGCCCCCUUAGUGCUGCAGCUAACGCAUUAAGCACUCCGCCUGGGGAGUACGGCCGCAAGGCUG